Long non-coding RNA from Raphanus sativus (radish), 545 nucleotides. RefSeq lists it as uncharacterized. The record is from RefSeq and is a predicted model, not a curated record. Lineage: Eukaryota; Viridiplantae; Streptophyta; Magnoliopsida; Brassicales; Brassicaceae. The transcript has 2 exons.
CGACAGAUCUGAAACUUCAUUCUCAUCUCUCAUAUCUCUCAUCACUCCCAUCUCUCUCCAAGCUUACUGUUUCUCUCAUCACUCCUAUCUCUUUGCACGCCUCUCUCAUCUCUCCCAUAUUUCUCCCAUCGCAUCUUCUCUUCGUCUCCCAUCACUCCCAUCGCAUCGCACCCCCACAACCACCACCGCGGUCGCCCUCCCACCACCGCCACGUUCGCCCUCCCACCACCGCCACGUGAGGAGUCAAGGAUCUUGGUGGCUGCAGUAGGCAAGGUUCAUGGCGGCUUGAGGACGGCGGCCAGGAGGAGGCAAACUCAUGACUGUUGGAAGAGGGGCAAGGGCUGCAAGGCCGUAGAGGAGGCGGCGGCUGCAGUCUUAGUUUUUUAGGUUUAGUUUUUUUUUUCUUUUUAAAUUUGGUUUAGUGUAAACCGGGUUGGGGAAAUUGUAGUGGUCUAAAUUUAUUUUUAAUUUCUGGUUUAGUAAUGUAAACCCAAGUUAAUUUGUAACCCAAUUUUAAUUUAUAAAUAAAAUUUAUUUCAUUUUCA